CGCUCCUCCCCAAGUUCCACGGUCCCCUGGGGAAGGGGGGGUCUCUGGGCCUCUGGCCUGGGCGCCCCGGGAGCCAAUCUGGUUGGCCGCAAGGGUUAAUCUGCAGAGGGCGGAGUUUUGACCCGUUCACCUGCUGCCCAUCACAGCGGGCGGCUGGGCUCCGGAGAACUCCGGCCCCUCGGCGCUCUCGCCCCUUCUUUCCCUUGCACUGAAGCCUAAGAGAUUAAAACCAAACCCCCCAAAAAACCCCAACCCUGACUCCGCGUGCAGUAUCACCCCAUCCCCACCAGGAGGCGACUCUCCGCGUUGCAGGACGCCAGCUCGGCGCAGCCGCCCUGAACUAAACGUCGGAGAGAGUAGAAUGCAACGGAGCCGGUGGACACGUUCCCUGCCCACAACACCUUUCCAGUCUAACAGUGCGUCGCAAGGGCUCGAGAAGUGUGAUUGAGUGACUCUGGGCAGCUGGGGCCGGUUUUACUUCUCGGACUCACCUGGCUUCGAAGUGCCACUCGGAAUUCGGAGUCAGGAAGACAAGACAGUUAAGAUGCAGUAUCUGGCUUAGUCCAGCCACUGUGGUAUUGCGACGGAGCAAGAGGAAAACGGUCAGGAGCAGCAGUUUCUUAAAGGUACAAGAAUGGGACCGGCAGUCGUGACAAGACCCCCCACCUUGGGCACACCCUGCUGACAUUGCCAUGAGGACAAAAGAAGCCUCCUAUGGGCUCCCCCAGCCACAGCCCACUACGUCUCAGCCUAAGAAGCCUCCUGGUUCUCCUAUAAA
This is a long non-coding RNA of Ornithorhynchus anatinus (platypus), 778 nucleotides long. RefSeq lists it as uncharacterized. The transcript is spliced from 3 exons. NCBI's taxonomy places the organism in Eukaryota, Metazoa, Chordata, Mammalia, Monotremata, Ornithorhynchidae. The record is from RefSeq and is a predicted model, not a curated record.